CUCCUGUCUGCAUCUCUAGCUGCAGGGCCCUCAAACUAGAAUAUCAGCUCCUCCCCGAUUUUUCACCUGCAUGACCCUCAAACUAGAACAUCAGCUCCUGUACAGAUUUCCAACUGUAGGGCCCUCAAACUAGAACAUCAGCUCCUCCCCAAGUCAGCAGCUGCAAGACCCUCAAAUUAGCAACUCAGCUCCUCCCGGAGUCUUCAGCUGCAUGACCCUCAAUCUCGAAGAUCAGAUACUCUCCGGGUCUUCAGCUGUAGGGCCCUCAAACUAUAACAUCAGCUCCUCUCCGAGUAUUCAGCUGCACGACCCUCAAUCUCGAACAUCAGCACCUCUUCAGGUCUGCAGCUGUAGGGCCCUCAAUCUAGAACAUCAGCUCCUCCCUGAUCUUCAGCUGCACGACCCUCAAACUAGAACCUCAGCUCCUCCCUGAGUCUUCAGCUGCAUGACCCUUAAUCUAGAACAUCAGCUCCUCCCCGAGUCUUCAGCUGCACGACCCUCAAUCUAGAACAUCAGCUCCUCUCCAGGUCUGCAGCUGCAAGACCUUCAAACUAGAACAUCAGCUCCUCUCCAGGUCUGCAGCUGCAAGACCUUCAAACUAGAACAUCAGCUCCUCCCCGAGUCUUCACCUGCAUGACCCUCAAACUAGAACAUCAGCUCCUCUCCAGGUCUCCAGCUGCACGACCCUCAAAGUAGAACAUCAGCUCCUCUCCGGGUCUGCAG
This 723-nucleotide long non-coding RNA is filed under the name Homo sapiens (human). RNAcentral describes it as "non-protein coding lnc-APOD-5:1". Lineage: Eukaryota; Metazoa; Chordata; Mammalia; Primates; Hominidae. The record is from RNAcentral.